UGUAUUUAUUAGAUAAAAAACCAAUGCCCUUCGGGGCUCCCUGGUGAUUCAUGAUAACUCAACGAAUCGCAUGGCCUUGCGCCGGCGAUGGUUCAUUCAAACUUCUGCCCUAUCAACUUUCGAUGUUAAGGUUUUGGCCUAACAUGGUGUCAACGGGUAACGGGGAAUAAGGGUUCGAUUCCGGAGAAGGAGCCUGAGAAACGGCUACUACAUCCAAGGAAGGCAGCAGGCGCGCAAAUUACCCAAUCCCGAUCCGGGGAGGUAGUGACAAUAAAUACUGAUACAGGGCUCUUAUGGGUCUUGUAAUUGGAAUGAGUACAAUUUAAAUCCCUUAACGAGGAACAAUUGGAGGGCAAGUCUGGUGGAUCGCAGUCAGAACACUGGCACCAGACAGCGGGGUCGCCGUCAGACCCCGAGUUGCCUCGCGGCAGCAAGGUACCUGGCUCGGGGAAGUCCAGCGUCGCACUGGCAAUCCCGCGGUGAGAGAGAGAGAGAGAUCAGAUCCUCCACUGUAAAGCGCGCAAAGGUGUCGGCCGUUUCCGGGCGAAACGGCACGUGGGACGUGCUAUCUUCAGCUCGAGAGAGCCUAAAUUCGGGGGGCCAGCAGCCGCGGUAAUUCCAGCUCCAAUAGCGUAUAUUAAAGUUGUUGCGGUUAAAAAGCUCGUAGUUGAACUUUGGGUCUGGCUGGCCGGUCCGCCUCACCGCGUGCACUGGUUCGGCCGGGCCUUUCCUCCUGGAGAACGGCAUGCCCUUCACUGGGUGUGUCCGGGAACCAGGACUUUUACUUUGAAAAAAUUAGAGUGUUCAAAGC
RNAcentral lists this unclassified non-coding RNA (811 nucleotides) under Thelenella antarctica. Its description in RNAcentral is "partial 18S small subunit ribosomal RNA". It matches the Rfam family "Eukaryotic small subunit ribosomal RNA", at positions 202 to 781 of the family's 1831-position model. Lineage: Eukaryota; Fungi; Ascomycota; Lecanoromycetes; Thelenellaceae. The record is from RNAcentral.